UGGACGACUUUGUGCGCAUUUUCGCUAUUAUGUGUUCUUUUAAUUAAAAUGAUUCUUUUUAAAUCUCCAACAUUGCUUCGGCAUUUUGGGGAUUUGUUACUUUGAGUAAAUUAGAGUGUUCAAAGCAAACAGAUAUAGCAUUUGUGCGUUUGAAUACUACAGCAUGGAAUAACAAAAUUGAACAAGUCAAAAUUUUUGUUCUUUUUUCUUAUUUUGGCUUAGUUACGAUUAAUAGGAGUAGCUUGGGGGCAUUUGUAUUCAGAUGUCAGAGGUGAAAUUCUUAGAUUUUCUGGAGACAAACAACUGCGAAAGCAUUUGCCUAAAAUACUUCCRUUAAUCAAGAACGAAAGUUAAGGGAGUGAAGACGAUCAGAUACCGUCGUAAUCUUAACCAUAAACUAUGCCGACUAGGCUUGGAUAAAAGAUUAAAAAUAAGAUAGGU
RNAcentral lists this ribosomal RNA (441 nucleotides) under Plasmodium coatneyi. Its description in RNAcentral is "SSU rRNA". It matches the Rfam family "Eukaryotic small subunit ribosomal RNA", at positions 667 to 1091 of the family's 1831-position model. Lineage: Eukaryota; Apicomplexa; Aconoidasida; Haemosporida; Plasmodiidae. The record is from RNAcentral.